Ciona intestinalis (vase tunicate) is the source of this 1172-nucleotide non-coding RNA. Lineage: Eukaryota; Metazoa; Chordata; Ascidiacea; Phlebobranchia; Cionidae. The record is from RefSeq and is a predicted model, not a curated record.
CAUCUUCCCCCACUCUAAUAUAUAUAGGCCGCUUUUUUAAUAGAUUUUGGUCUAGAAUAUUUAGUAGUGUUUUUGGCAAGGCAGAUUUAUACAAAUUUAUGAUGCUAGUGAAGAAUCCCCCUUACGUUAUUAAUGUAACUGCGCCGUAAACCAACUAUACCCCCUAUACUAUAUAUUUUGUUUACUUUAUUUUUUUACUGCAAAACAGAUAUUGCUAUUUUCGUCGUAAAAGUUAAGUAGACUAUAUUAAAAUGUCAAAAGGCGUUAUUUCAUAUUUUACAUUUUAGUGUUAUUUCUACUGCAAGGCAGUGCCGAGGGCGAUGAUUUUUGCCGAACCGAUGUUGGUCAUACAAUAAUCUGCGCAGAUUAUGUCGCUACGACGGGAUAUUGCUGCAAUUAUGUGGAUGGUUACUACCAGGACUGUUGCUACACUACUGCUGUUUGGGGUUUAUGGUACUUUUGGUUUUCCAUCGUUUCAUUUCUCUUUAUUGUUGGAGGAGUUGUAGCUCUUUGUAAAUAUUGUGUUUUCAAAAACAGCAGCUCAAGAAAUUCUUCAAUUGCGGAUACCGAGACAGCGGCUGUGCCUGUUGUGUAUUCCGCUCCGCAGAAUGCUCCUCCAGUACAAGCAAAUAUAUCAGACUUUCCACCAAGCUAUGAGCAACUACAGCAACAAGGAGUUGAUUCUCAAACGCAGCAGUUCAACUCUUACGGCUUAAAUAAUCCACCUUUUCCAACGGAAACAAUGAACUAAGAAAAAAAAGUCGCAUCAAAGCAAUUUUUAGACGCUUUUGAAAAAUGUUUUUUUUUAUGGGAAAAUUAUAACUUUUUAGUCCUCGAUUUUUCAGUUCUUUUUGAUAACUUUUCAGUUUCUCGAUUUCAGUGCUUUUCAAGUAAACAUUUACUGAGUACAUUUUUUUACCAUUUGAUUUUACCAAUUUUUGUAUUUGGGCGUAAAUAAUGAAAUUUAAAUGCAGUAUAAUUGUGUUUAUACAUGUUUUUAAAUAUACAAGUGUUUUUGCAAGUUUUGUCGUAUAAAAGAUGUUACUUGUUUAAAAUCCUACAUGGCAGUGCAACGGCAUUUGUAAUAAAAUAAGUUUUUUUGUUUUAUACACCUCGUGCCCGCUUACCAGUUACACAUAGUAGGGAGGGGGAAAAUGGGAAACCUUGGGAAA